RNAcentral lists this ribosomal RNA (433 nucleotides) under uncultured bacterium. RNAcentral's name for it is "partial 16S ribosomal RNA". It matches the Rfam family "Bacterial small subunit ribosomal RNA", at positions 29 to 507 of the family's 1533-position model. The record is from RNAcentral.
AACGAACGCUGGCGGCAUGCCUAACACAUGCAAGUCGAACGAGACCUUCGGGUCUAGUGGCGCACGGGUGCGUCACGCGUGGGAACCUGCCCUUAGGCUCCGAAUAACUCUCCGACAGGGGUGCUAAUACCGGAUAAUGUCUUCGGACCAAAGAUUUAUCGCCUUUGGAUGGGCCCGCGUUGGAUUAGCUAGUUGGUAGGGUAAAAGCCUACCAAGGCGUCGAUCCAUAGCUGGUCAGAGAGGAUGAGCAGCCACACUGGGACGGGGACACGGCCCAGAAUACUACGGGAGGCAGCAGUGGGGAAUAUUGGACAAUGGGCGAAAGGCUGAACCAGCAAUGCCGCGUGAGUGAUGAAGGCCUUAGGGUUGUAAAGCUCUUUUACCCGGGAUGAUAAUGACAGUACCGGGAGAAUAAGCUCCGGCUAACUCCGUG